RNAcentral lists this ribosomal RNA (497 nucleotides) under uncultured bacterium. RNAcentral's name for it is "partial 16S ribosomal RNA". It matches the Rfam family "Bacterial small subunit ribosomal RNA", at positions 28 to 507 of the family's 1533-position model. The record is from RNAcentral.
GAUGAACGCUGGCGGCGUGCCUAAUACAUGCAAGUCGAGCGAACGGACGAGAAGCUUGCUUCUCUGAUGUUAGCGGCGGACGGGUGAGUAACACGUGGAUAACCUACCUAUAAGACUGGGAUAACUUCGGGAAACCGUAGCUAAUACCGGAUAAUAUUUUGAACCGCAUGGUUCAAAAGUGAAAGACGGUCUUGCUGUCACUUAUAGAUGGAUCCGCGCUGCAUUAGCUAGUUGGUAAGGUAACGGCUUACCAAGGCAACGAUGCAUAGCCGACCUGAGAGGGUGAUCGGCCACACUGGAACUGAGACACGGUCCAGACUCCUACGGGAGGCAGCAGUAGGGAAUCUUCCGCAAUGGGCGAAAGCCUGACGGAGCAACGCCGCGUGAGUGAUGAAGGCCUUCGGAUCGUAAAACUCUGUUAUUAAGGAAGAACAUAUGUGUAAGUAACUGUGCACAUCUUGACGGUACCUAAUCAGAAAGCCACGGCUAACUACGUG